GACGAACGCUGGCGGCGUGCCUAAUACAUGCAAGUAGAACGCUGAAGGAGGAGCUUGCUUCUCUGGAUGAGUUGCGAACGGGUGAGUAACGCGUAGGUAACCUGCCUGGUAGCGGGGGAUAACUAUUGGAAACGAUAGCUAAUACCGCAUAAGAGUAGAUGUCGCAUGACAUUUGCUUAAAAGGUGCAAUUGCAUCACUACCAGAUGGACCUGCGUUGUAUUAGCUAGUUGGUGAGGUAACGGCUCACCAAGGCAACGAUGCAUAGCCGACCUGAGAGGGUGAUCGGCCACACUGGGACUGAGACACGGCCCAGACUCCUACGGGAGGCAGCAGUAGGGAAUCUUCGGCAAUGGACGGAAGUCUGACCGAGCAACGCCGCGUGAGUGAAGAAGGUUUUCGGAUCGUAAAGCUCUGUUGUAAGAGAAGAACGAGUGUGAGAGUGGAAAGUUCACACUGUGACGGUAUCUUACCAGAAAGGGACGGCUAACUACGUG
This 495-nucleotide ribosomal RNA is filed under the name uncultured bacterium. Its description in RNAcentral is "partial 16S ribosomal RNA". It matches the Rfam family "Bacterial small subunit ribosomal RNA", at positions 28 to 507 of the family's 1533-position model. The record is from RNAcentral.